GAUGAACGCUGGCGGUGUGCUUAACACAUGCAAGUCGAACGGAAAGGUCCUGCUUUUGUGGGGUGCGCGAGUGGCGAACGGGGGAGUAACACGUGAGUACCCUGCCACUGACUGAGGGGUAACUUCAGGAAACUGGGGCCAAUACGGGAAAGGAGCAUCUGCUGCAUGUGGGGUGGCGGAUAGUUUCGGCGGUUGGGGAGGGACUCGCGGCUUAGCAGCCUGUUGGUGGGGUGGUGGCUUACCAAGGCUUUGACGGGUAGCCGGCCUGAGAGGGUGACCGGCCACACAGGGGCUGAGAUACGGCCCAGACUCCUACGGGAGGCAGCAGUGGGGAAUAUUGCACAAUGGGCGGGAGCGUGUUGCAGCAACGCAGCGUGCGGGAUAACGGCCUUCGGGUUGUAAACCGCUUUCGCCUGUGACGAGGAGUGAGUGACGGUAAUGAGUAAAGAAGCACCGGCUAACUACGUG
RNAcentral lists this ribosomal RNA (468 nucleotides) under uncultured bacterium. Its description in RNAcentral is "partial 16S ribosomal RNA". It matches the Rfam family "Bacterial small subunit ribosomal RNA", at positions 28 to 507 of the family's 1533-position model. The record is from RNAcentral.